Malania oleifera is the source of this 106-nucleotide small nucleolar RNA. NCBI's taxonomy places the organism in Eukaryota, Viridiplantae, Streptophyta, Magnoliopsida, Santalales, Ximeniaceae. The record is from RefSeq and is a predicted model, not a curated record.
ACCUGGCGAUGUGGGCAUUUAUAGAGCAGGUCCCUAAAACGCUCCCAAGUCUCGAAAAAGAGUUCCCCAUCUAUUUGUGAGAAACUUGUAAUGGCUCUCCAAAGCU